This 72-nucleotide transfer RNA is filed under the name Chloroflexota bacterium. Its description in RNAcentral is "Chloroflexi bacterium tRNA-Thr". It matches the Rfam family "tRNA". Rfam says of the family: Transfer RNA (tRNA) molecules are approximately 80 nucleotides in length. Their secondary structure includes four short double-helical elements and three loops (D, anti-codon, and T loops). Further hydrogen bonds mediate the characteristic L-shaped molecular structure. tRNAs have two regions of fundamental functional importance: the anti-codon, which is responsible for specific mRNA codon recognition, and the 3' end, to which the tRNAs corresponding amino acid is attached (by aminoacyl-tRNA synthetases). tRNAs cope with the degeneracy of the genetic code in two manners: having more than one tRNA (with a specific anti-codon) for a particular amino acid; and 'wobble' base-pairing, i.e. permitting non-standard base-pairing at the 3rd anti-codon position. The record is from RNAcentral. RNAcentral also lists the same sequence under 1 other name. Lineage: Bacteria; Bacillati; Chloroflexota.
GCCGGCGCCAGCUGGCAGAGCAGCUGUUUUGUAAAUAGCGGGUCGCCGGUUCGAAUCCGGCCGUCGGCUCCA